AGGUUGUGGAUUCCCGGGUGCACUUGCUGGCGAGGCUGCGCGGCGCCGGUUUCGUGGCUAAAAUCUGACAGACUUAUUGCAGAACUCGUUUCUUUGUCCGGAAAGGGCUCCCCUGUGUAACUUUACAGCAGUUAUCGUAGAUGAGGCUUGCAAAUUACAGAUGUGGACGGUGCCGGAACGGGAAUUUCAUUGAUAGCGCCUGAGAACCAACACAAGGAGUAAGAUACAGCCCCUCAAGGGACUCGCCAUAGGGAGAGGACACAGAGCUGUGGGAAUAAAGGGGCCACAAAGGAGGAGAGAGGCGUUUGCUGAAAACUUCCCAAGCUCCCAUUCCAGCAGUUCCUGAAGGGUCUUACUCAUUCUUUUAAAAAAUUUCCGACGGAAGAACCUGGAGUGUGGCGUGACCAUGGGGAAGCAAAAGAAAACAAGGAAGUAUGCGACCAUGAAGCGAAUGCUUAGUCUCAGAGAUCAGAGGCUUAAAGAAAAGGAUAGAUUAAAACCUAAAAACAAAGAAAAGAAGGAUCCCAGUGCGUUAAAGGAAAGAGAAGUUCCCCAACACCCUUCCUGCUUAUUUUUCCAAUAUAAUACACAGCUGGGCCCACCUUACCACAUCCUCGUUGAUACCAACUUUAUCAACUUUUCCAUAAAAGCCAAACUGGACUUAGUGCAGUCAAUGACGGACUGUCUGUAUGCCAAGUGUAUCCCUUGUAUAACUGACUGUGUAAUGGCUGAAAUUGAGAAAUUGGGGCAGAAGUAUCGAGUGGCUCUAAGGAUCGCCAAGGAUCCAAGAUUUGAACGAUUACCAUGUACACACAAAGGGACCUAUGCAGAUGACUGCUUAGUACAGAGAGUAACUCAGCAUAAGUGUUACAUUGUGGCCACAGUUGACCGGGACCUUAAAAGAAGAAUCCGUAAGAUUCCUGGAGUUCCUAUCAUGUACAUUUCUAACCACAGAUACAACAUCGAACGGAUGCCAGAUGAUUAUGGAGCCCCUCGAUUCUAAUUCUUAUAAGACACAAUUCCUCUGCCUUUCUUCAGCCAGCUUUCUCUUGUUGCCAGUUCAUUACACGAAAUGUAGCGGGAUUUUUAAGGAAUCAGAGAGACCGAUGGAGUUCACGAAGAUAUUUAUUAUUUAGGUGCACCGGACCAGUUAGAUUAACAUCCAAAGGACCAGCCCCGAACAAAGAGUUAAGUUACCUUUUAAGCAUUUCGUGGGGCGGCGGGGCGGGAUCUGUGCAGGGGGAAGCACAUUACAGAAGUGAGAAAGACAGUUAAUUAAUUGAGACAUGCAUUACAUCAUUUCUUACUUUUCAAGGAAAAACAUGUUUUAUGACUUGAGUUUAUCUGUCUAGUUACCUUGCAGCUGCACAGCUAGAGAAACAGGGUAUUCCAAUGCCUGGGAAAGGAGGAGAGAUAAGGCUCACUAGCCACAGAAAAACAGGCAGUUAAUUUUUAAAGGACUCCAGCUCUUUCUCUUUCUCACAGGGAAUUGGGUUCUCUUACAUACAACUGAGUUACUGCUUACACAUUUUAAAAUUUCUUUUAAUUCCUUUUCCAAUGCAAUAGCAUGAAUUAUUAUUCUGUUGACCUAUUUGCCCUAUUAUGAGCUGAGGGUAGUUAGAUAUGCUCACUCUUUUUUUUUUUUUUUUUUUUUCCUUGAGACGAAGUUUUGCUCUGUCGGCAGGCUGGAGUGUA
RNA transcript from Rhinopithecus roxellana (golden snub-nosed monkey), 1695 nucleotides. It is a transcript of the gene named rRNA-processing protein FCF1 homolog pseudogene, with no coding region annotated. NCBI's taxonomy places the organism in Eukaryota, Metazoa, Chordata, Mammalia, Primates, Cercopithecidae. The transcript has 3 exons. The record is from RefSeq and is a predicted model, not a curated record.